Molecule: long non-coding RNA, 1002 nt
Filed under: Homo sapiens (human)
Lineage: Eukaryota; Metazoa; Chordata; Mammalia; Primates; Hominidae
Description: HSALNT0060180
Source: RNAcentral
GCGACGUCAUGACGUCGGCGUCCACUGGCGACCAGAAGGGACACGGAGGGGCGGGCCAGAGGGUCCGGUCCCGCCUACAACGCCCGAGGCGCUCCGCCCAGAGCCCGGAGGUGUGCGGCCCGGCGCUGUGCGCGUGCGCUCGCCUGCGCUGUGGUGGGAGCUGGAGCGGAGGUAGAAGCUGAGGCUCCAGGGGACCCGACGACACUUGCUGGCUGCGUGACCUCGGUCACACCAGGGCCAUUUUGCUGACAAGACAACAGAGGCCGGGCGCGGUGGCUCACGCCUGUAAUCCCAGCACUUUGGGAAGCCGAGGUCAGUAGGCAUCCAGCGCUGGGGCAGCUGCUUCAGGACAUCGCCGAGGACAAGUCUCCUCCCCAUUCUGGUUCCACCAUCUGUAGCCUGUGGCUUUCAUCCUCAAGGGCUCCAUGCGACCGCUGCACAUCCAGGCCCAGUUCCAAGGUGCAAGGCUACUUGUGCCAGCAAGAUAGCAGAAGCAGGACAAGAGCUGGCUGGAAGACACCUACCGUGGUGGGAAGACAUGUACCCGUGAAGAUCGAGAAAGAGUCCAUCCGGGUACAACGUAGCAGUUACGUCAGACUAGGACACUUCCUGUUUACAGGAGACUAUAAAACCUUUGCCGCGUCCUCACUUGGGGCUGAUGCCAUUUUAGGCCUCAGCCCACCUGCACCCAGGCGCUCAUUAAAACAGCAUGUUGCGGCCGGGCGCGGUGGCUCACGCCUGUAAUCCCAGCACUUUGGGAGGCCGAGGCGGGUGGAUCAUGAGGUCAGGAGAUCGAGACCAUCCUGGCUAACAAGGUGAAACCCCGUCUCUACUAAAAAUACAAAAAAUUAGCCGGGCGCGGUGGCGGGCGCCUGUAGUCCCAGCUACUCGGGAGGCUGAGGCAGGAGAAUGGCGUGAACCCGGGAAGCGGAGCUUGCAGUGAGCCGAGAUUGCGCCACUGCAGUCCGCAGUCCGACCUGGGCGACAGAGCGAGACUCCGUC